RNAcentral lists this ribosomal RNA (513 nucleotides) under uncultured bacterium. RNAcentral's name for it is "bacterial SSU rRNA". It matches the Rfam family "Bacterial small subunit ribosomal RNA", at positions 28 to 529 of the family's 1533-position model. The record is from RNAcentral.
GAUGAACGCUAGCGGCAGGCCUAACACAUGCAAGUCGAGGGGCAUCGCGGUGCAGCAAUGCACUGGCGGCGACCGGCGUACGGGUGCGUAACGCGUAUGCAACCUAGCCCCGCACCGGGGGAUAGCCCGCCGAAAGGCGGAUUAAUACCCCAUGGUCCCGGGGGCCCGCAUGGGCAUCCGGGUAAAGCCUUGGCGGUGCGGGAUGGGCAUGCGUGCCAUUAGCUGGCUGGUGGGGUAACGGCCCACCAGGGCAACGAUGGCUAGGGGGUCUGAGAGGAUGGUCCCCCACACUGGUACUGAGACACGGACCAGACUCCUACGGGAGGCAGCAGUGAGGAAUAUUGGUCAAUGGGCGGAAGCCUGAACCAGCCAUGCCGCGUGCGGGAUGAAGGCCCUACGGGUUGUAAACCGCUUUUCCCCGGGAAGAAUAACCCCGAUGAGUCGGGUGAUGCCGGUACCGGGGGAAUAAGGAUCGGCUAACUCCGUGCCAGCAGCCGCGGUAACAUACUCGUA